RNAcentral lists this long non-coding RNA (5620 nucleotides) under Populus tremula. RNAcentral's name for it is "long non-coding RNA (PTRE_LNC002388)". The record is from RNAcentral. Lineage: Eukaryota; Viridiplantae; Streptophyta; Magnoliopsida; Malpighiales; Salicaceae.
GGUAGUUGGUGGUGUUGGAUAACCUAUAAAAUUUAUUAUCUCAACGUUUUGUUAGCGUAUAGCCUUAUUAUGUGCGCAUCUUUUAGGGCAAAAGAAAAAAAUCCCCUUAUGAAAGCCAAACGAAAGAAAGAAAUAUCAAAGAAGCUAAUUUCUCGAAAACUAGCAUAUGUGCUUGCAAGAAUGUAAAUAAGAUUACUCGGAUCAUACAUGAAUGAUUCACAGAAGACAACAUAUUGUUGAUCUGGUGAGACCGCGACUCCAUUAGCAAAGUAGAGGUCAUGGGCCAAAACCUUGGUCUCUUUGGUAACUGGAUCAUAGCUGAUUGCUCGACCAUAUGGCUUACCCUCCAAAAGGUCCCAGAAGAACUCGAGGAGAUUGUAUUUGUAUGAAGCAUCUGUAAAAUAGAUGGUGCCAUCUUCUGCUAUAUCUACACCAUCUGUGAGUUUAAAUUUUAUACCCUCGGCCUCAUCAGCUAGUAGCUCCACUUUACCCUCUCCAUUUAUCUUUAGCAGUCCCUGUUAUACAUAACAUUAUAUAUAACAAGACCAUGCGGUAAUUAACGUAAUACCAGUGCUACACACAAGGCAUUAGUAAGCUUCUAUUAAAUACAUGAGAAAACAAUACAUUGAAAAAUGAUCAUAUAUUCAAAGUUGAUUUCAAGACAAUUAAACUUAUAGAUAUAAGACUAAAUAUAAAGAUAAAUAAGCUAAUUUUAUAAAAACUAUAAUGAUUUUGAGAAAAAUAUCACAUUCGCUCAUAUUUCUCUGAGAAAAAAGUAAUUUCAUUCGGAACAUAUUAUAUCACUCCUAAUUAGUCUUAGCUUCAUGUACUUUUAUAUUAUUUUUUACACUUGACACUCUCUAAUAAACAAAAUGUGAUAUUUUUUUUCCCUCUAAUUACCUAAAACAAAAUGUGCAAGCAUCUUUAGUGAUGGCAACAAAUUAUUUUUUUUAAAAAAACAAUGAAUUUGUGUCAACUAAAUUUAAUAUGUGAUUUUAAUUUUGAGAUUAUAAUUAUAUUAAUAUGGGUUAACUGUAAAAUUAUACAUAAGCCUAGAGCAAGAAAGUGCUGAUUUAGUUGGUUAGUUGUCACAUUCUUUACCCUUCUAAGCUUUUUUUCUAUUUGAGUCUUUGUUCUAUUUGUUUAAGAUGAAAUGCGAGAUUCAAUUCAAAUGAGCUAUUAGAGAGUUACAUAUUAAAUUGAAAAAAAAUUGACUAGGCUAGGCUGGGGUGAAAUGAAAUUCAAGGCUCACUUGAAGAAUCAAUAUUGAUUAAAAAAAAAAGAAAAAAAGAAAAAAAGAUGUCGCGUGGAAUAAACAUACCACCGUGUGAACUGGACCACCAUAGUCUGGUGGUACAGCCUCCAAUCUCCAAAAAUGGUAAUUCUUUCCACAAUUAGAUUCAUCUCAUCAAAGCGGUCAUCCCAAAAACAGACAAUUAGAUUCAUCUCAUCAAAGCGGUCAUCCCAAAAACAGUGCAUGGCUGAGGAGGAUUAUGUGGCUUUAGCGACCAUUUUUUCUUCUCUUUCCGUUCUCAUAUUCUAUCUACUCUGGAAAGAGAAGGGUCUCUGUUUUUUCAUUUUCAAAUCUAGUCCCUUUAGUUUUAAUUCAUUAGAAAACGAGAAAUUCUAACUAUUUUGCAGAGAAUCUUAUAUCCAGGAGAUCAAACCAAGCACCAAACCCAAAUUUCAAUCCAACCAAUUGCUGAAGGAAAAAAAAAAAAAAAAAAUAGAGCAUGGUGAUGAACAUGGCGUAUUAAUUUAUUUCUUGUAAUAGAACAUUAAGUUGAUUAAUUAACGUCACCAACCUUGAAAGCAUCGGCUACAAUAACUUCAUUAUCGUGUCCAAGGGCGAGUCCGAGAGGCCUACCUCCAGUGCUAACCCAGCUCUCCACGAUAGUGUCAGCAACUGAGUCAUUAAUCGUGACUCGUUUAACCCACCCAUCAGCGCAAGAAGUGUAAAUAACACCCGAAUUGCUAUCAUAUACAAUAUCUUCUGGUUCAAUCAACUGCUUGAAACCCACAAGCUCUGACCCUUGAAGCAUGUGAUCAUUCUUCUUCAAAGCCUUCAAUGGUGGCUGAGUCAGCUCGUGGAUCGGCAAGUGAGCUGGUUCGAACGAGUCAAGUUGGAAAACCAGUGUAGCUACCAAGACAGGAGAUAGAACAGUUAACAGAACAGUAAGGAAAGGCCAUGAGGUCUUUCUUGAUGUGGGUUUCGGAGAAGAUGGUGAGCUUGCAGGUCUAGCCAUAGGGGGUUGGAUAAUGUUAUCUCGAUACUGAGCAAGCCUUUAAAUUAAGAAACAAGUUGUCUGAAAUCAUUGGCAUUCUAAUAUUUGAUGUCAUAAAACUAAAACAAUAUAAAGACUAUUAAGUUUUAAAAAACUCAUGAAAUAGACUCUCUCUUUUUUUUUAACCAAGACCACAUAAUUUCAUGAGUUUUUCUCUUAAAAGAUCCAAACUUGAGUUGAUUCUUUCAACUCAACCCCAAUUUUAUCCGAGUCAAACUCUUUUAUGGGCUCUUGUAACGACAACAAAAACAAUGAAAAAGGGCCACGCACUUGCCUUCUUUCCAGAACUGACAGGAACGUUGAUGGGAUCUGCGAUUAAAAAACAAAAACAUCUCUUAUAGAAAAUUAUAAGUGAAUGCAUGCGGGAGAUGACUUUCGAGGAAGAUGCCUCGUCAUCGACCAAAAGUCAUCUUAUGCAAAAAUAAUCAAUUAUAUGCAUGUGGAAGAUGACGUAUACGUCAUUUAUAUGAUUUUAUUGUCUAGCUUUUUUUUUUUAAUUCUAACUUUCUCUCUCUCUCUCUCCAAUUUAAUCUCUUAGUAUUUUAUUAAUCUUAAAUUAAUCAUCCUGAUUUAUUUUAGAUUUUACAAAUUCGAUCUAUACAAUCUUUCUUGUCCUCGAGCGGCGUCCGAUGGCAAUUUUUAUUCACUUCCUUGAUUUGAAAAAUCGCCACCUAAAAUUUAAUUCAAGGCUACUAGAAAACCCGACUAUACUAUUCCUUGUAAUAAAUUCAUUGGUAAAAAACUGUUUAUGACUAGGAAAGAUAUUAACACCCCUAACGCAUCCUACUUGAGGUAAGUUGCUCCUUAGUUUUGAUAUGAUUUAAAAAUUUAAACAUAUUAAUCAAAUUUUUAAGGUUUUAAUAAAUCAGUUAUUAAAUCCCAAAAAAAAUAUGUAGAAACAUGUUCUUAUAUUUUUACGAGAAAUACAACAUGAUUUUAUUUGUCCGUAAAAUACUUGAUCAUAUGUAAAUUAAACCAUUAAAUUCUUUUUUUUAAUUCAAUAACAUACAAAAAAAAAAUACAAACACACACAUCAUUUUUACAUGUUACAAAAUAACAGAAAUUGAAAUUAACCAAACAAGACCUUAACAAUUCCAAAAUUAAAAAACACACCCCAAAAAAAUAUAAGAACUGUAGGGAAGCCUUCUAAGACCUGCUAAAAUAGUGCACUGCGUGGAGCUCACGCACCACCGCCACUGGCGGCGUAUGGAUCCACGUGCCGUUGUUGGCGAAGACCAAUAAACUUGUGGAUCGGGAUCGUCUCAUUCUUCUCUUCUUGCUCGUACCGGUGGUGGAUCUCCCAGUCACCUGCAAGGCAACCCAACAAACACAAAUAAUAGAUUUCACUUUUGUUUUCCCCCCUUUUCUUUUAGAUCUGCCACUGUCUCCCUCCGUUAAUCCUUUCUUGUUUUGUGCAGCAAUGUCGCAAGCAACAAACCUUGCCCACAACAGCAGCAAGAAAAGAAGGAUGACACUGUGUUUUAAUUGGUUUGGAAAUCAACAUUUAUAAGAGAACAACGAACAAAUAAAAUAUCAAAGCGGGACAACAAAUUAUAAAUUAAAUUUCAGCUGUGAAAGAAAUGUAUGAGUACAUGGCAAACAUUGAAAAUUGAAAUCGAAAAGAGCUACGAUUGGAGAGAAUACAAUACGUAAUUCAACAUGAUCAAACAUGGAAAUCAAUGUACAUGCUUUUUAUUUAUAACGAAGCAUAAAAUCCAUACCGAAUGACAUUACACCUUUAUAAAAUCUUCAUCUUCAGCAUAUUACAAUAACAUCCCCAAGAACAGCAUGCCUCUUAUUUAUCAAAUGAAUAACUUUAUUUGAACUUUAAAUUAAACAAUAAGACAAACACUAAGUUUAUUUUUGAAGUAAAUAAUGACAUAUUAAAGAUGGGUAAUUUUUCCUGGUUAUCUACACGAUCUGAGUUGAUGAUAUGUAGCUUAGGGCCUGCAAUUUUUUUUUAUGUCCGAUUUGGGAAAAAUAAUCUCACUUUGAGCAUUGACAGUAGCCGAAAAUAACAAAGGGAGUGUUGCCAUAGUUAGAAAAUAGUUAUUUAACAUUCAUUUUCUGUCCUUGAAUAAUUUCUAUAGCUGAAAAAGAAACAAAUCUUGUCCUAUGACCAUUUCAUAGCCAACAAUACCAUAAGUAGCCAAGAAAGAAGAAGGUACAUUAUUAGAAUAAUAUGACAAAAAUAAUUGCAGGGUGUGGGAUAAUGCGAAGAACAUCACUUCAUAGGAGUGUUGCUUACACUGUGGCUCGUGCAGGAUGCUUUGUUACAUCAAGACGGACAAUGUAGGGAUAGAGAAGGGAACCGCAGUAUAUAUGGUUUCCAAUCCUGAUCCCACUUGAAAUCAAUGCCAAACCCGGAUCAUAGUAAUGCUCCGUUGGCUUUCCUUCCAAAUCUACGAUGAAAACACCACUAUUCUUCGACAUAUUAAUUCCCCCCAUGUACUUCGUAUAGAUUCCCAUAAGCUUUCGAAGAAAAGGAUGUUUGAGUGCUAGGUCCAGUGCAACUGUGAUUUCCUGUUGUAUUUUUGCAGCAACAUUAAUGGUGUUAUAAACAACAGUCAUACUAUAAAGGUCUUUAAGUGAACGGAAAAAGAAGAUUAAUACAAGUAAAGAAUAGCAGGAACGCAAUUAAAUUACCGAGGCUAAUGCAAUAUAGUAAUGGCCAUGUCCAUCAUGAUGGAUGUUAUCAGGCAAGCCAGGCAAAUUGUCAAUGAAUGUCUCUAGGCUCCCUUUUUUCUUUCCUUGUAUGUAAUAUUUUCUACACCUUCUCCUGCAAUAACCAGUUCAAAAAAGUGAAUUAUAAGAACUUAAUGAUAAUUCAUAGAUAGUUGGUGGUGUUGGAUAACCUAUAAAAUUUAUUAUCUCAACGUUUUGUUAGCGUAUAGCCUUAUCCCUAGGCGCAUCUUUUAGGGCAAAAGAAAAGAAAUCCCUUUAUGAAAGCCAAACGAAAGAAAGAAAUAUCAAAGAAGCCAAUUUCUCGAAAACUAGCAUUCGUGCUUGCAAGAAUGUAAAUAAGAUUAUUUGGAUCAUACAUGAAUGUUUCGCAGAAGACCACAUAUUGUUGAUCUGGUGAGACGGCGAUUCCAUUAGCAAAGUAGAGGUCACGGGCCAAAACCUUGGUCUCUUUGGUAACUGGAUCAUAGCUGAUUGCUCGACCAUAUGGCUUACCCUCCAAAAGGUCCCAGAAGAACUCGAGCAGAUUGUAUUUGUAUGAAGCAUCUGUAAAAUAGAUGGUGCCAUCUUCUGCUAUAUCUACACCAUCUGUGAUCUUCAAUUUUACACCCUCGGCCUCAUCAGCUAGUAGCUCCACUUUACCCUCUCCGCUU